This 409-nucleotide ribosomal RNA is filed under the name bacterium. RNAcentral describes it as "partial 16S ribosomal RNA". It matches the Rfam family "Bacterial small subunit ribosomal RNA", at positions 355 to 776 of the family's 1533-position model. The record is from RNAcentral.
UGGGGAAUAUUGCACAAUGGGCGAAAGCCUGAUGCAGCGACGCCGCGUGAGGGAUGACGGCCUUCGGGUUGUAAACCUCUUUCAGCAGGGACGAAGCGCAAGUGACGGUACCUGCAGAAGAAGCACCGGCUAACUACGUGCCAGCAGCCGCGGUAAUACGUAGGGUGCAAGCGUUGUCCGGAAUUACUGGGCGUAAAGAGUUCGUAGGCGGUUUGUCGCGUCGUUUGUGAAAACAAGCAGCUCAACUGCUGGCUUGCAGGCGAUACGGGCAGACUUGAGUACUGCAGGGGAGACUGGAAUUCCUGGUGUAGCGGUGAAAUGCGCAGAUAUCAGGAGGAACACCGGUGGCGAAGGCGGGUCUCUGGGCAGUAACUGACGCUGAGGAACGAAAGCGUGGGUAGCGAACAGG